Molecule: long non-coding RNA, 12313 nt
Filed under: Sorghum bicolor (sorghum)
Lineage: Eukaryota; Viridiplantae; Streptophyta; Magnoliopsida; Poales; Poaceae
Description: long non-coding RNA (SBIC_LNC003310)
Source: RNAcentral
CGGUCGCGGAUCCUUCGACACUUCAUGUGUCGGAGGUUCCUUAGCUCAGACGCGUCGGGGGUUCCUCAGCUCAGCUGUCCUGGAGGUUCCUUGGCUCGCUCGGUUGCCGAUCCUUCGACGCUUCUCUGUCGGAGGUCCCUCAGGCUGGGCGCGUCAGAGGUUUCUUACCUCCGCCGCGGCCUCAGCCAUCCUCGGACUUGGGAGGAUCGGAGGUUCCACCUUUCUCUGCUUGUGGGCCUCCGCCGAUUGUUUGUCCCUGCACACACUUAGCACGACAAGACGAGUCAUCAAUAUUAGCCUUUUUCCAGGAUCCUCCGCAUGCUUUACCACGGAGGUUCUCUGGGUGGAGGAUAUCCUCCGACGCCUUAGAAAUCGGAGGUUCCUCGGGUGAAGGGCAUCCUUAGACGUUACCAGGGGGAAGGAUGCAGCCAUUCCCCAACAGUUCCCCCCUUUUUGGGCUAAUGGCACUCCCGCGGUCCAUGUGCUCAAAAACAUGUCACGCUGCGGAGGCUGCGAGCAUGGUUGCUGCCUUCCCCCUGGUGCGCAGGAUGUGUUUGUUAGCAUCAUCGGAAAAAAUUUUCAUUUUACUUGGUCAUAAAUUUUCUUGGUAUGUUUCUUUUGCCAGGAUCCUCCGAUCAUUGUUGUUCUGAUAGCUUGAUAUCCUUCGCGCGUUAGAGUGCGCAGGAUAUUAUAGCCGUUGGAGUUAGCCGUUGGCAUUGAGGAAGCGCAACGGUCAGGCCAAUUCCUCCGCUUAUAGCCGUUGGGCGCGGGGAAUCGCAACGGUCACGUUGCCGCAGGCCCCCCCUAUAAAAGGGGCAUGGGGGAGGCUCUUGGGUCUCACCCUUGCAGCCAGCUGUUUGCGUUUCUUCCUUCGCCACAUCUCGCUCUUUGAGCUACUUGCAUUUGCUUUAGUUGAGUAUAGCUCUUAAGUGAUUGCGGAGGAUAUAAGGUGGCUCAUUUUCCUUCGCCUCGUCCUUCAAGGUCAGAUUUUUCUGGUCCUUUGCGUAAUUUUCUUAGUGUGAGGUCUGGUGGUUGGUUGCGGAGGUUUGAAGAUUGGAUGCUUGAGGUGGCUGCUGCUCAAGAUCUGGAGGAGACAUUGUCUGACGUCGAAGCUUCUGUUGGUGAUCUAAUCAGUGCGAAGGAGUUUGAGGAGAUGGCUGCAAUUACUUUUGAGUUUGGGGAGUCGACUGUGAGGACGGAGGAUAUUGCUGAUAUGGUUGAAGCUAGGUUUUUCAAGGAUGGCCGUGCGAAGGCUCCUCCUGCGGGUCAGACGGUGCCUGCGCCUGAAGAGGGUUAUGAGGUGGUAUUCAGGGACUUCUUUACCUGCGGACUUCGGAUGCCUCCGUACCAUUUCCUUCGCGAAGUGAUGGAGAGCUUCAACGUGGAGCUACAGCAUUUCAGCCCCAAUGGGAUACUGACCCUUAGCAAAUUUGCCUGGGCGUGUGAAUCCUAUGGAGCCAUGCCCCACAUUGACACUUUUUGCUCGUAUUUUGAACUCCAACGCCAGCCUAAGAAGGUGAAGGAUGCCGAAUGUGUUGAGUGCAUUGCGCAGUUUGGAAGCUGCGCGUUCAUGCCGCGCCGCACCAUGCCUGGGCCAAGGUGCGAGAUCUCCUACUGCCAAAAGGGGAAGUGGGAGAAGGAUUGGAUGAGAGCCUGGUUCUACGUGAAGACCCCCGCUGCGUCGAGGACUUUGGAUGACGGUAGCGUUGAUAAGGUUUACCCUUACGCGUCGUUGAUGAAGGAGUUGAAGCCUAUCUCGAAGGUUGAUCCUUCGCAGGAAAUGUCGGAGGAACGACUGGCCUGCGACAAGGCAUUUGCGCUGGCUUGCCGAUACUCCGGAGGUCGAGAUUUGGUUGAGGAGAUGGUCGCCGCCGACUAUUGGCCCCUUGGCCGCAGGACCGACGAAUUCACCAUUGAAAUGGUGCAAGUGCCAGUCUUUGGUCCUCCGGAGGGUUUGCCGUUUCCCCGGUUUGGCGCGGGUUUGCCGGAGGAUGAGACCAAUGGGUCCUUCCUUGAACACGUGGAGGUUUCUGCUUGGAGGAUUGUUGGGAAGAUAUCGGAGAAGGAAUAUCUCCAGCGGAGGUCUGCGCUCGGGACGAUGCCCCGCUUCAACCGUGUUUUUGAAGAAUUGGGGAUUGAGUAUGAGGAUUAUGUUAUUCCUCCGGAUGUGUUGCUUGGAUUAGAGAGGAAGAAGGACUCUUCCAAGGCUGUUGCCUUGGCGGAGUCGAAGAAGAGGAAGGGGGCGGCGCUGUCAAGCAGCUUGCGAAGAAGCGCAAGGCGGGGGUUGUGCUAGAGACUCCUGUGGAGUCUUCCUCCAUUCGAUCUUCUGCUGCUGAGUCGAACUCGGUGGCUUCUGCUCCUGCGGAGGCCGUUGCUGUUGGCGGAGGUCCCGAGGUUCAAGCCUCCCGUGCGGCCUCGUCUGUGCGGGCGCCUUUUGUGUCGCUGCUUGGUGAGGAUUCCUCCGACGCGGAGGCCCCUAGGGGGAGUCCUGCACGGGAGGUGAGUCCUGCGCGGGAGGCAUCUGCUGGAGGGGUUUCUCCGCCGAAGGAGAGGCAGGAGGAAUCCAGUGAUGAUGCAGAGUCUGCCUCUGUUCGGAGGAUAAAGAGGGCGGAGGCUCCCCUUCGUCCGGCUGGAGACGGUAUAAAUUCGUUGUACAUGGGUAAUGAUUUUUUGUUAGUUAUGGGUUUUUCUGCAUAUUUUGAUUGACUUGGUCUCAUGUUUUUUGUAUAUCUUUCAGCGGAUGUUUUUGCUGGGCUGGCUACCGCGGAGGAGCUGGCUAAAGGCGCCAGCGUUGCGCAGGAAGGUCUUGCUGUUCCUCCACGGCGUGAUCCUGCGCCUUCUGCGUUGGCCAGCAGGCCUUCGCCUACUGAUUACUUGGUCCCGGUGAGUUUCUUUUUUGCUUGACUUAUUGAUUUGUUUUUUUAGUAUUUUAUUCUGAGGUUGGUUUUGGUUUUUUGCAGGUGCUUCUGAUCCUUCGAUCAGAGGUUGGACUGAUGCCUUGCGCGAGGUUCAUUCUUUGGUCGGAGGUUCGUUGUAUGGCCUCCGCUAAUGGGUUUUUGGUUCUUACGAUUUUUUUUACUUGUUUUUGAUUUACAGAUCGUUUCCGUCAGAAGCUUCGCAACAUGGACUUUGACACGCUACUCCGCGUGCAAUAUGAGCACCAUAGCCUUGUACGUUUGCGAUGUGUUAUAUUUUCCUUCGCCGUUUUUCGCUCGGAGGUUGGUUGUAACUUUUAUUUUUUGAGCAGGGUCAUCACAUGGCUGCCGCCUUGGAGGAGCGUUGCUCCCGGGAGGUUAUUUGCCGGGACGAGGCUAUUGGUGCUCUGAAGAAGGAAAACGGGACCUUAGCAGCUUCCAAACUGCGCAAUGCACUCAACACCUUCGGCAUCCUUCACCUUCUUAGGCUGGCGCUGGAGUUCAAAAUACGAGCAAAAAGUGUCAAUGUGAGGCAUGGUUCCGUAGGAUUCACACGCCCAGGCAAAUUUGCUAAGGGUCAGUAUCCCAUUGGGGCUGAAAUGCUGUAGCUCCACGUUGAAGCUCUCCAUCACUUCGCGAAGGAAAUGGUAUGGAGGCAUCCGAAGUCCGCAGGUAAAGAAGUCCCUGAAUACCACCGCAUAACCCUCUUCAGGCGCAGGCACCGUCUGACCCACAGGAGGAGCCUUCGCACGGCCAUCCUUGAAAAACCUAGCUUCAACCAUAUCAGCAAUAUCCUCCGUCCUCACAGUCGACUCCCCAAACUCAAAACUAAUUGCAGCCAUCUCCUCAAACUCCUUCGCACUGAUUAGAUCCCCAACAGAAGCUUCGACGUCAGACAACGGCUCCUCCAGAUCUUGAGCAGGAGCCACCUCAAGCAUCCAAUCUUCAAACCUCCGCAACCUACCACCAGACCUCACACAAAGAAAAUUACGCAAAGGACCAGAAAAAUCUGACCUUGAAGGACGAGGCGAAGGAAAAUGAGCCACCUUAUAUCCUCUGCAAUCACUUAAGGGCUAUACUCAACUAAAGUAAAUGCAAGUAGCUCAAAGAGCGAGAUGUGGCGAAGGAAGAAACGCAAACAGCUGGCAGCAAGGGUGAGACCCAAGAGCCUCCCCCAUGCCCCUUUUAUAGGGGGGCUGCGGCAACGUGACCGUUGCGAUUCCCCGCGCCCAACGGCUAUAAGCGGAGGAAUCGGCCUGACCGUUGCGCUUCCUCAAUGCCAACGGCUAACUCCAACGGCUAUAAUAUCCUGCGCACUCUAACACGCGAAGGAUAUCAGGCUAUCAGAACAACAAUGAUCGGAAGAUCCUGGCAAAAGAAACAUACCAAGAAAAUUUAUGACCAAGUAAAAUGAAAAUUUUUUCCGAUGAUGCUAACAAACACAUCCUGCGCACCAGGGGGAAGGCAGCAACCAUGUUCGCAGCCUCUGCAGCGUGACAUGUUUUUGAGCACAUGGACCGCAGGAGUGUCAUUAGCCCAAAAAGGGAGGAACUGUUGGGGAAUGGCUGCAUCCUUCCCCUGGUAACGUCUAAGGAUGCCCUUCACCCGAGGAACCUCCGAUUUCUAAGGCAUCGGAGGAUAACCUCCACCCAGAGAACCUCCGUGGUAAAGCAUGCGGAGGAUCCUGGAAAAAGGCUAAUAUUGAUGACUCGUCUUGUCGGGCUAAGUGUGUGCAGGGACAAACAAUCGGCGGUGGCCCACAAGAAGACAAAGGUGGAACCUCCGAUCCUCCCAAGUCCGAGGAUGGCUGAGGACGCGGCGGAGGUAAGAAACCUCCGAUGCGCCCAGCCUGAGGGACCUCCGACGGAGAAGCGUCGAAGGAUCGGCAACCGAGCAAGCCAAGAAACCUCCAGGACAGCUGAGCUGAGGAACCCCCGACGCGUCCGAGCUAUGGAACCUCCGACACAUAAAGUGUCGAAGGAUCCGCGACCGGGCAGAGGAUCCAAGCCUCCGACCGGCUGAAACCCUAGACAGGUGACACGCGUGGGGUUUGUAAUGCGAAAUUACACGAGUGACUUGGAGUCGGUAGACUGUAAUAGGAGAAUAUGCCGGGAUAUUCCCCCACCGUCACGGGGCAUUUUUGUAAAUGUCGUUAGGUCGGUUUCUGAGCCCUAUAUAAGGGGUGAUGCCGUUAUUAAUAAGCAAGGAGAGCAUUCAUUGUAUUCACCUACUGUUGAGCUCACUGUUCACUACUGUUCGCCCUCUCGCGGCACCGAGUAAGAAGGUUCUCGAUUCACUGUGCUGCUGGGGAGUGCGGAGAGCAUUUUCCCAACAUUGGCGCCCACCGUGCUCGGCACGAUUUUUUUUUUUUUUGAAAAGCUGGUAGUUGAAACCUUUGGAAAAAUUCACAGAGUUAAGAGUUGGUUCUUCGGACAUCAAUUUCAAGUAAAAAUCUCCAAGGCCUUCGGCUGUCCAGCCUGCACACGAAGCUCCGGCCUUUAUCUGAUAGCACGCCUUCGACAGCCUUAUGGUGUGCAGCCUUCUUCACACGAACCCUUUGACCUCUAUGUAACAACCUUCGCUAGCCUUCUAUAAUCUAGUGUGCAGCCUUCGCAGCCAGCCUUUGAGUAUUGCAACAGUUCCAAUAAGUCAGCCUCAAUCAUCAAAAACCCCAAAAAUAAGAACACUAAUAGAUCAGGGCCGCUUACCUGCAACCUUCAGCAAUCCAAGUGACGUCUUCGUCCAUGGGAUCUUCAGGUCUCCAAGCUCUUGAGGGAGGCAUUGGAAGCAAAGUCUCCACAUACACGGCCUGCUUCCUUAGCUCCGUGACGAAACUAGUCGGACCAACACGGGACGCUGGAUGCCAACUUGCGUAACCAUAGGCCACCAACAUCGGUUAGCAAGCCAUGAAGUGUUUAUUAUUGCGGGAAGUGUUUAUUAUUGCGGGUUGACGAGCAUAGGUCAGGUGCCUUCCGCAAACAACGCCAUGCUUGCAACGCUCCUAGUCUCAACGAAGGUGUGCAUUUUAAAAAAACUUCGAGAAGGUAAUCUAUGAAGAAGGUAAGGUCUCCAAAAAACUCCAAAAAUAUAAAAAAAACUUCAAGAAAGGUGAAGCACCACAAACCUUCGUUGCUUCUUUUUUUUAAAAAAAGAGAGAAAGAAAGAGCCAGGACCUUUGGCUACUGUUCAAGGAACAGAGGUUCGAGCUCAAUAUCUUAGUACAAAAUAUUUCUUCUCGGUGCUAGCUAACCAGCAGGAACACAAGACUUUUAGUUAAGCAAAUGCCAGCAGUGCGGAAUAGACGCCGCCGCAGCAGCGUUGUCCACAACGCCGACCAUGAACCUGAUAAGCCACACAACAACUUCGAGCUUGCGACACAAAGCUUCGCAUCGACCCCUGUCCAUGCUCUCGCAACAGCAUUAAGAGCUGCCUGGUGAGGCAGAAUGAACCAUGCCGAGGAGAAGAAGACACUCGUCGAGCUCGAGCCAAGCUCGCUCGACCUCGCCGCAGGAUGAUGACCCGAAGCGCCAAACAAAACGCUCACGGCAAUCUCGAGCUCGAGCACUGCCAAACCAACCCUUUACAAAUGACGUUAGGGACAGACCUCUGACGAUGGCCAGCAUGCUAAACCUUCGGCCCAAUUCUGGGCUACCCGCCCACGAACCGCACAUAUGAAGAGACAGUGCUUUGUGAAGCUCCGGCCUCCUGUAGGGCUUGCUACUUCUGCCGAAGGUGCCUCCGCUGCCACUGAAGGCUGAGACAAUGUUCAUUCUCAGCUUCCGAAGGCCCCAGAUCCAGUCUACCGAAGGUUGGUGCGAUUCCCUGAUAUUGCUCCACACCUUUCGCUUGACCAACGAAGGUAUGCUGGCAUAUUUGCAAACCGACAAAUCAAGGUUUGAACUCUUUAUUGUUUACUACACCCAAUGCUUGCUAAAAAGAAAAAAGCCUGGGACGGCAUCUUUCUUUAUGUGCUAACCAAAAGGUCAUGCAAGUUUUCUCCUAGACGUUUGCAGAUUAUUUGUUAAGGCCAUUGAGCACCAAACGGGAACCUCCGCUCUAAAACUUGUCAUUUGCAUCUGGAUUUCUAUUUGUGAAGCUAGAAGCUACUUAUUCGGCGAAGCUGACAUACCUUCGUGAUUUUUUAUCACUCUGAUAUCUUUGAACCUUCACCAUUUUUGGUUCUCUCAUGAAGCUCAUUUUCUUGCGCGGAUGGAAUUCUUGGAUUUUUUUUGUUUGUGAAGCUGGAACAUCUUCGCUGAAUCCUGGAGAAGACCUUUUUUUUCUUGUGAAGACUCGAGUCUCUUCACAAACCUGACGAAGGAAUCCACAAACCUGACGAAGGAAUCCUGGCCUAUCUAUUAUAUAAGAACAAUUACUCAUCACGUGUGCAUGACUCUAGAAUGACCUUCGCAGCAACAUGUACGUACGCCUCUCAACCAAGGUAACAGUGACACUUAACUAGAGCAUUUACUCGUUGUUUCUUACACCACGAGGCAACUGCAACAAAGUUCUACCACUCACCAUUUGAGCUACGUGCCAAUUAAUAAUAACAAUCAAAUAUAUAUUAUUUUCAUACAUAUCUUUUCACAUAUGCCAAAAGUAUCUUCAUGCAAGGACCAAACUAGCACUCACCAGAUUAUAAAUCUUCAUGGCAUAUAAUGCCUAAUGAUUUUUCUAUUAUGAUUUAUUUUUUGUCACAUUUCUUAUCUAACCUUGGCCUCCCAAGAAAAAAUUUAAAAAAUAGUCUUCGUGUAUAACUUAUCACCAAUGUGACUAAGAAAGUUGUCACGGCCUUCGCCAUACCAAAAGCACGACCUGAGUGGCUAUACAUGCUUGGCCUUAGCUAGCUAAUUCAAAAACCUACAUUUUUCUUAUACCGAAUCUCUUUUUUACUAACAUGCAGAUUACUAUCACUGUAAGUAUCUCUUUUCCUCUCCAAGCUAACCCUCUCAUAGAAUAUAUUUUCUUUGUUGUAUACAUUUUUUACAAACCCAAGAUACAUAGUUUACAUUAGAUACUAGCCCUCAUGAAAUUGAGCCUUCGUCAGUCAACAUCCUUCGCUAGUCUCAGUCCCUGUUCUAAAUAGCGCGCUAUAGUGAACGCUAUAGCGCUAUUUAGCGUUUCUGGAAGAGGACUGCUAAGCUAUGAAGAUUUUAACGCUAAAUGAUUGUUCCUGCUAUUAGCAGCUAAUAGCGCGCUAAUUUCGCUAAAUUGGGUUAGUUUAGCGCCGCUAUUUGGCCUUGGGAUUCAUUUUCAUCGCCCCAAAUAACUUGGAGGCCCAAAUAGUAGGGAUAUGCCCCUAUGUGAUGUAUGUUAUUAUUGAUGUAUCAUGUAUGAACUACGAACUUUGAUGUAAUAUGUUAGUAACCCUUUGAAAUAUCUAUCACUAUUGGUAUUCAUAAUGUUUUCAUCUUUAUUAUGUUUAAAAUUACAUGAUAUUUGAUAUAUUUUUUGCUCAACCGCUAAAUGGCUUAGCCCGCUAUUAGCGCGAUAUAGCUUUUCUUAGCCGUUUAGAGAGGCUGCCGCUAAGAGGCUUAGCACGCUAUUUAAAACACUGGUCUCAGUAAGUCAGUGGUAUUCAUUUGUCAUUGGUUCUCAGAAACCUUCGUUAGUCACCUUUGUCAGUUAUUGGCCUUUAUCAGUGAACAACCUUCAUCAGUUAUUGGACUUUAUUAGUCACCUUCAUCAAUUAUUGGCCUUCGUCAGUGAACAGCCUUCGUCAUUCGCCAACCUUCGUCAUUUAGCAGCCUUCGUCUAUCGACAGCCUUCGUCAGUGGGCAACCUUCAUCAUUUAGUAGCCUUUGUCUGUCGGCAGCAUUCGUCACUUAGCAGCCUUUGUCUAUCAGCAGCCUUCGUCAUUCAGCAACCUUCGUUAGUUGGCAGCCUUCGUCAUUCACAACCUACAUCAGUUGACAGUCUUCAUCAUUUAGCAACCUUCGUCAAGUUAUCAUCCUUCGUCAUUCAAUAUUUUUCAUUGCUCAGCAGCCUUCUAGUCAGCAGUCCCCAUCAGCGAUCAACCUUCGACAUCUAAUAAACCUUCUCCCAUCAGCCUUCUCCUACUUUUUUCAAGUUGUAUCGUUGAAAUUAUUUUUUAGGACUUAUAAAUGUUAUUUGAGCUAAUCUUCGCAGGGAGCUAAUACUCUUUACAUUCAAUAACUACAAGUCAUAUCUACACCAAUGCAGGUUCUUAAAUGGCAGCCUUUACUUGCCAUCUGAAACUAUGAUUCCUUAUUCAAGGGUAUCAUUCUUCGUAUAUAGACCAUAACUCUUACACAAGCUCAACCAUCAUUUUGCAGGGUGCAUGAUACAUUUACCUCUUCUAAUAUUUUCACGCAAAUAUAGUCAUCCUUAUCAUCGGUACCACAUACAUACAUUGCAUAAGUGCAUUGCAAAAUAUGGCCCAAGCCACCUGGAAGAAGUCCCAAAAAUACAUGGGCACCAGGACUAUGCAUCAAAAUCCUGGAAGAAGUCCCAAAAAUACAUGGGCACCAGGACUAUGCAUCAAAAUCCUGGAAGAAGUCCUAAACCUACAUAGGCACCAGGUCACAAAGCUGAGGCUUUCGUGCUACCCUCACGUAUCAUAUAAAUGACUAACCAUCUUUUGCAGCAAGUGCCUUUCUAAGUGUCGAAAGACUUGUAAGCAAGUCGAUAUUCGACGGAGCUAUAACGCCCAACCUAAGUCCCUAAAAAUGCAGGAGAACAACUCAGGCGCAUUUUCACACGACUUAUAUGGCCUUUGGCACAUGGCGACAGCAUCUACAUUGCCAUUACCUUCUCCAAGACCUUCAUAUGAGGGGCUUCGCCACCAUCUUCAGUGACUUCAUCAACAUCAUCUCCAUUGAAAUAACUUUUUCAGAAGGGCCUUCGUCAAACAACUUUGUAGGAGGGUCUUUGUCAUCGCCUUCGGUUUACUUCACCAACCUCAUCUCCGCCAAACACAUACGAAGGAGGGUCUUUGACUGUAGUCAUGGCAAACCAUAAUGACUUGCCUCCAUUGAUACAUCGCCAGGAGGGGCUUCAUCGACACCUUCGUCAUCCACACUAAUAUGUACUCCACCAAGCACCUUUGCAGGAGAGUCUUUGAUAAGAGGGGCUUCACCAUCAUCCUCGCCCACUAUAAUGGUUCAAUAGCUUUCGUCAACUCCUUCGGCAUCAACAUCGAUGGCACCCCCCAUGCCUCCUUCGCCACCAAGUUCUACAACACCUUCUUCACUGGGCCUUCGCCUCACUCUGCAUCUACAUCAGCGAACAUAUACUUCCACUACUAUGACUACAUCGACCACACCUUCAUCAUGAGCACCGACCAAGAGGGGCUAGGCAAGCAUAUCAGAGGACCAACAACUCUGGACAUGAAGACUCUUUGUCCGGUGCUCAGGAGAAGGCCUCGAGGACAAAGACUCCCUCACUGAGUGCGGAGGAUUUGGGCGAGACUGAUGAUAAUGCAUCUCUUGUGAUACCGAGUGAAUGCAAGGACCAUGUCAACGAUGGAGGUCGCAAGGAGAGAAGGAAGGAGCCUUCGGAUUUCCCCACGAUGAAGGAUGAGCGAAGGCAAGACGAAGGACGCGGCAGGACCGACGAGCCUUCGUUGCACCCGGGCCGAAGAACCUUCGACGUGACCAAGCUGAGGAACCUUCGUCACAUCUACGCUGAAGGUUCCGCAGCCGAACGAAGGAUUCAAGCAUUUAACGAGCUGGAGCUCCUGCGCGUGAGAAGGCACAUUGUGCAACGCGUUGCUGGGGAGUGCAGUGCGCAUUUUCCCAAUUGCUGAGGAGGUUUGAAGAUGAAGACCUCCGCACCGAGAAGGCCUUGAAGAUGAAGACCUCCGCACCGAGAUGGCCUUGAAGAUGAAGACCUCUACACCAAGAAGGCUCAAAGAUAAAGAACAUCAAGCCAAGAAGACUUUAAUGCCGAGGACCUUCACAUCGAGAAGAUAUUGGAGGAGAAGGCAUUGAGGAUGAAGGCCUAUGCACCAAGCAAGUCCAACAAACUAUGUCAAUGAAGUGCAUAAAGAAGGCAAAGCCCAAAGUUGAAGAUAUCUGCGAGAACAAGGCACUCAGGGGUAGUCGCCUCAGGACUUAGAACACGUAUUGGUUAGAGUCAUGCACGUGCUCUUUUCUCCAUGCCCUUUUUUCCCACAGGGUUUUUGGGAUGGAGUUUUUAGUGAAUCGUGCAUGCAUGGUUCGUGAAGGGCAAUCCUCGCAACCAAGAUUCAAGUUGUAUUGUGCCUCUUCUAGUAUUAGCAUCUACUAGGUCAUGUAGUACCAGCCAUAACCAAGUAGAUGAGGGGCUAACUGUUGGGACAUGUCAUGUUCACAUGGGCCAAGUCCCUAGAAGAGGCCCAACUCAAGCCAUUGGAGUGGCAUGUAAAAUCCACCCCCACAGGGGGUCACUUGUAAAUUUCCACUUGCCUAUAUAAUGUCAUGAUCAUGAGGGCAAGGGGGGCUCUCUUCACUCUCCCACUAUUUUCUCGCAAAACCCUAGCUGCCGCCUCACUCUCCCCCCUCACCUGUUGGAACCUUCUCCAGCCAGGACUUUGUCCUAGACCUUCAUCGAGAACCUUCUCCGGCCAGGCCUUCGUCCUGGACCUUCAUCGAGAACCUUCUCCAGCCAGGACUUUGUCCUGGACCUUCGUCGAGAAGGACCAGAAAAAUCUGACCUCAAAGGGCGUGGCGGAGGAAGAUGAGCCACCGUAGAUCCUCCGGAAACACUUAGGAACCAAACGCAGCAAAAACUCACGCGAGCAGCUCAGAUAGCAAGAUGUGGCGAAGGAAAUGUGCGUGCAACGAGCGGCAGGGGUGAGAACAGAGAGCUCCCCAGCAUCCCCUUUUAUAGGGGGGCCUGCAACCGCGCGGCCGUCGCGAUUCCCCGCGCUCAACGGCUAAAAGCGGAGGACUCGGCCUGACCGUUGUGAUUCCCCAGAACCAACGGCUAACUCCAACGGCUACUAUAUCCUCCGCAAUCUAACACGCGAAGGAUAUCAGAACAACAGUGAGAGGAAGAUGCUGAGAAAGAAAAUUUUCACCAAGUACAAUAAAAAUUUUUUUUUCCAACACCGCUAACAACCACAUCCUGCGCACCAGGGGGAAGGCAGCAACCAUGCUCGCAGCCUCCGCAGCGUGACAUGUUUUUGAGCGCAUGGACCGCAGGAGUGCCAUUAGCCCAAAAAGGGGGGAACUAUUGGGGAAUGGUUGCAUCCUUCUCCCUGGUAGCGUCUAAGGAUGCCCUUCACCCGAGGAACCUCCGACUUCUAAGGCGUUGAGGGAUAUCCUCCACCCAGAGAGCCUCCGUGGGAAAGCAUGCGGAGGAUCCUGAAAAAAGGCUAAUGUUGAUGGCUCGUCUUGUUAUGCCAAGUGUGUGCAGGGACUGACGCUGACGGAGGCCCACAAGCAGAGAAAGGA